This is an unclassified non-coding RNA of Cavia porcellus (domestic guinea pig), 102 nucleotides long. It matches the Rfam family "Y RNA". From Rfam's summary of the family: Y RNAs are components of the Ro ribonucleoprotein particle (Ro RNP), in association with Ro60 and La proteins. The Y RNAs and Ro60 and La proteins are well conserved, but the function of the Ro RNP is not known. The record is from Ensembl. NCBI's taxonomy places the organism in Eukaryota, Metazoa, Chordata, Mammalia, Rodentia, Caviidae.
GGCUGGUCCGAGUGCAGUGGUGUUUACAACUAAUUGAUCACAACCAGUUACAGAUUUCUUUGUUCCCUCUCCACUCCCACUGCUUCACUUGACUAGCCUUAA